AGUGAACGCUGGCGGUAGGCCUAACACAUGCAAGUCGAACGGCAGCACAGUAAGAGCUUGCUCUUACGGGUGGCGAGUGGCGGACGGGUGAGGAAUACAUCGGAAUCUACUUUUUCGUGGGGGAUAACGUAGGGAAACUUACGCUAAUACCGCAUACGACCUACGGGUGAAAGCAGGGGAUCUUCGGACCUUGCGCGAUUGAAUGAGCCGAUGUCGGAUUAGCUAGUUGGCGGGGUAAAGGCCCACCAAGGCGACGAUCCGUAGCUGGUCUGAGAGGAUGAUCAGCCACACUGGAACUGAGACACGGUCCAGACGCCUACGGGAGGCAGCAGUGGGGAAUAUUGGAAAAGGGGCGCAAGCCUGAUCCAGCCAGACCGCGUGGGUGAAGAAGGCCUUCGGGUUGUAAAGCCCUUUUGUUGGGAAAGAAAAGCAGCAGGUUAAUACCCCGCUGUUCUGACGGUACCCAAAGAAUAAGCACCGGCUAACUUCGUG
RNAcentral lists this ribosomal RNA (492 nucleotides) under uncultured bacterium. RNAcentral describes it as "partial 16S ribosomal RNA". It matches the Rfam family "Bacterial small subunit ribosomal RNA", at positions 29 to 507 of the family's 1533-position model. The record is from RNAcentral.